GAUGAACGCUAGCGGGAGGCUUAACACAUGCAAGUCGAGGGGCAGCAUAGGGUAGCAAUACUCUGAUGGCGACCGGCAAACGGGUGAGUAACGCGUAUGCAACCUACCCUGUACAGGGGGAUAACCCGGAGAAAUUCGGACUAAUAUCCCGUAAUAAUAUCCGGAGGCAUCUUUGGAUAUUUAAAGUUUCGACGGUACGGGAUGGGCAUGCGUAACAUUAGCUGGUUGGUAAGGUAACGGCUUACCAAGGCUAUGAUGUUUAGGGGUCCUGAGAGGGUGGUCCCCCACACUGGUACUGAGACACGGACCAGACUCCUACGGGAGCAGCAGUGAGGAAUAUUGGUCAAUGGGCGCAAGCCUGAACCAGCCAUCCCGCGUGCAGGAAGACGGCCCUAUGGGUUGUAAACUGCUUUUCCAGGGAGGAAACUUACGCACGUGUUGCGUGACUGACGGUACCCUGGGAAUAAGCAUCGGCUAACUCCGUG
This 485-nucleotide ribosomal RNA is filed under the name uncultured bacterium. RNAcentral describes it as "bacterial SSU rRNA". It matches the Rfam family "Bacterial small subunit ribosomal RNA", at positions 28 to 507 of the family's 1533-position model. The record is from RNAcentral.